Molecule: ribosomal RNA, 396 nt
Filed under: uncultured bacterium
Lineage: Bacteria
Description: bacterial SSU rRNA
Rfam family: Bacterial small subunit ribosomal RNA
Source: RNAcentral
AUAUUGCUUAAUGGGCGCAAGCCUGAAGCAGCAACGCCGCGUGUGCGAUGACGGCCUUCGGGUUGUAAAGCACUUUUAGGUGGGAAGAGGAAGGACGGUACCACCUGAAUAAGCCUCGGCUAACUACGUGCCAGCAGCCGCGGUAAAACGUAGGAGGCGAGCGUUAUCCGGAUUUACUGGGUGUAAAGCGCGUGCAGGCGGUUCGCCAAGUUGGAUGUGAAAGCUCCCGGCCCAACUGGGAGAGGUCGUACAAGACUGGCGGACUGGAGUGUGGUAAGGGAAGGUGGAAUUCCGGGCGUAGUGGUGAAAUGCGUAGAUAUCCGGAGGAACACCAGUGGCGAAGGCGGCCUUCUGGACCACGACUGACGCUCAGACGCGAAAGCUAGGGUAGCAAAC